UAGGGAAUCUUCCGCAAUGGGCGAAAGCUUGACGGAGCAACGCCGCGUGAGUGAUGAAGGUCUUCGGAUCGUAAAACUCUGUUAUUAGGGAAGAACAAAUGUGUAAGUAACUAUGCACGUCUUGACGGUACCUAAUCAGAAAGCCACGGCUAACUACGUGCCAGCAGCCGCGGUAAUACGUAGGUGGCAAGCGUUAUCCGGAAUUAUUGGGCGUAAAGCGCGCGUAGGCGGUUUUUUAAGUCUGAUGUGAAAGCCCACGGCUCAACCGUGGAGGGUCAUUGGAAACUGGAAAACUUGAGUGCAGAAGAGGAAAGUGGAAUUCCAUGUGUAGCGGUGAAAUGCGCAGAGAUAUGGAGGAACACCAGUGGCGAAGGCGACUUUCUGGUCUGUAACUGACGCUGAUGUGCGCAAGCGUGGGGAUCAAACAGG
This 429-nucleotide ribosomal RNA is filed under the name Actinomycetes bacterium. RNAcentral's name for it is "Actinobacteria bacterium partial 16S ribosomal RNA". It matches the Rfam family "Bacterial small subunit ribosomal RNA", at positions 355 to 776 of the family's 1533-position model. Lineage: Bacteria; Bacillati; Actinomycetota; Actinomycetes. The record is from RNAcentral.